Molecule: transfer RNA, 72 nt
Filed under: Camelus bactrianus (Bactrian camel)
Lineage: Eukaryota; Metazoa; Chordata; Mammalia; Artiodactyla; Camelidae
Also listed under: 2 other names
Rfam family: tRNA
About the family: Transfer RNA (tRNA) molecules are approximately 80 nucleotides in length. Their secondary structure includes four short double-helical elements and three loops (D, anti-codon, and T loops). Further hydrogen bonds mediate the characteristic L-shaped molecular structure. tRNAs have two regions of fundamental functional importance: the anti-codon, which is responsible for specific mRNA codon recognition, and the 3' end, to which the tRNAs corresponding amino acid is attached (by aminoacyl-tRNA synthetases). tRNAs cope with the degeneracy of the genetic code in two manners: having more than one tRNA (with a specific anti-codon) for a particular amino acid; and 'wobble' base-pairing, i.e. permitting non-standard base-pairing at the 3rd anti-codon position.
Source: Rfam by way of RNAcentral
AGGGAUAUAGUUCAGUGGCAGAGCAUGUGCUUAGCAUGCAUGAGGUCUUGGGUUCAAUCCCCGUUACCUCUG